Molecule: long non-coding RNA, 380 nt
Organism: Helicoverpa zea (corn earworm)
Lineage: Eukaryota; Metazoa; Arthropoda; Insecta; Lepidoptera; Noctuidae
Exons: 2
Source: RefSeq, a predicted model, not a curated record
CCGUCGUCAUAGCAGAUAAACGUCCACUGCUGGAUAAAGGCCUCCAGGGGAGAUUUUCCUAUACUCACCGCGCUGGGCAUGCGUGUUGGUGAAAGCAGUGCGGGAUAUUUUAAGCUUCGAAGAUGCCAGAAUAUACCUGUUGAAGCGACCUGCAUCCAGCGUCUUCCGGCGUUCUUUACAAGGUCGUCUUUCCACCUUGUUGGUGGACGUCCUACGCUGCGCUUGCUAGUCCGUGGUCUCCGCUCCAGCACUUUUCGACCACAUCGGCUAUCUGCUCUGCGAGCAAUAUGGCAUGCCUAUUGCCACCUCAACUUGCUAAUCCAGUGGGCUAUAUCGGUAUGAAUCAGAAAUAUAAUAAAUGUUAAUGACAUAUCCACUCA